UUUUAUUAUUAUUAUUAUUAUGAGUACGAAUCCACUUGUUCAUCACCUUCCCAGAUCGAUCCCAGCUUUGUCAUCCACACGCACACGCACUCUUUUCCUUUUCCGACAAGGAAUUAAAGUUAAUCAAUGCAAGUAGUAAGUUUCUUCCCCUUCUCUACAAAAACAUGAAAAAACGUGACCCGACCCUUGUUUUCCAGGACAAACAACAAGCCUUCUCUCCCUCACAGCUGUCACUCUUCCGUACCCGUGAGCAACAGCGGUAGCGGUAGUUUACUCUUGAGCAGCAGGAGCCUACUCCUCCUUCAGCACCGUGAGUCAGCAGUAACCUCUCUCUGCUAGAAACGGCCAGUCCCUCCAUAGCAGUAGUACUGUAGCCUUAAAUUCCUAGCUACAUCAACAUCAACUACUUCUCUACAACCUCGAUAGCACAGUGAUCUCAGUUCAGGUUCAAGCUCUGCACCAGCUACACACGCUGCAGCAGCUCAUCUUCUCUGUUCAUCAACACAUCCCGUUAGCAAUUGGAAGAACCUGCAGCAGCAGCGAACCUCUCUGCACCAGCAACGUGAGCAGCUCCGGAGCAACAGUGGAAGACAUUUUUCAUCAGCAACCACUGCCCACCAUGACUUGUUGUCGUCCAGCAACUCCCUUCAAGUAACAGUAGCAGAUCGUGCAACAGCAGCAGCGUCACUCAACUUCUCCUGACACCAGUGGUGGAAGCUCCUCCUUCCAGCAGCGUCAUCUUCUCAGUACCGUGAACAAGCAGCAGGAGGAGGUUUUCCUUGUCAGCCUUCAGCGCCUCUCAUCCCCUCUGCGCCGGGAGCAGCAAUGGAGAAUCUUUUUCAUCAGCGGAAAAUCUUUCCUCAGCUUUGCAACAGCAGCAUUGUGAACAGCUAGAAACAGAAGAUUUAAUAAAAUAAAAACAGCAGAGGCUUCUCUUCUCAAUCACAGCAUCAGAAGUUAGGGAAACACAGGAGAAACAGAAAGAGAAGAAAAGGAAAAGGAGACUGGGUAGGUGUUUGUUCAAAGCAAGACACACCAUCCCUACUAAUAUAGAAAACAGUUUCUUACUUUAGAUAUUUUAUGAUGGAAAAUUCAUCAAAUAUGCAAAAGUUAGAAGGACGGGGGCAUGACUCUUGUUGUACGAGCUCAGAAGCUGAUGUUCCACGUCUACAUUUAACCAAAUCAUGGACAAGAACUGCAGUUCUGGCUGAAUGAUGCAUCAGCUUGGACCCAAUUCAUGCACUGCAGAGUUUAGGGCUUCAAACCACGUCAAGGAGAUAGAUGAACUUGCCAUGAACAACAAGGUGCAUUUUUUUAAGAUCCGGAGUAACGUAACGAGCAGCUUUCUACGAAAUGCAAGGAAUAAACAAGGGGAAUUUUCAUAUUUCAAGUCAUUUCGCUUAAAUUGAAUGGCCAAGCAUGUGGUUCCGCGCUCGUCAUGCUUCAGGCUUCCAGCAAAAUCUAAGGAACACAUCAAGGAAUGUCGCCUUUUCUAAUACCUACAAGUAGAAUACAUAGACAGAUUUGCACUAAAUGGGGAUCUCACAGUUGAGCUGGGUUCCCCUCCAUCAUUGUACAGCAUUUUCGUAUUAUGUACAAGAGUGCAGAGAUUUCAGAAAGCUUGGUCCGGGGCCCAUUACAACUUGAGCACUUGGAAUCAGGUUCAUCUUAUCUUUUUGAAACAUACACUGCAGCUGCAAAGAUGAAUCUGGCGAGGCG
Populus euphratica (Euphrates poplar) is the source of this 1719-nucleotide long non-coding RNA. RefSeq lists it as uncharacterized. The record is from RefSeq and is a predicted model, not a curated record. The transcript is spliced from 2 exons. Lineage: Eukaryota; Viridiplantae; Streptophyta; Magnoliopsida; Malpighiales; Salicaceae.